GACGAACGCUGGCGGCGUGCCUAAUACAUGCAAGUUGAGCGCUGAAGGUUGGUACUUGUACCAACUGGAUGAGCAGCGAACGGGUGAGUAACGCGUGGGGAAUCUGCCUUUGAGCGGGGGACAACAUUUGGAAACGAAUGCUAAUACCGCAUAAAAACUUUAAACACAAGUUUUAAGUUUGAAAGAUGCAAUUGCAUCACUCAAAGAUGAUCCCGCGUUGUAUUAGCUAGUUGGUGAGGUAAAGGCCCACCAAGGCGAUGAUACAUAGCCGACCUGAGAGGGGGAUCGGCCACAUUGGGACUGAGACACGGCCCAAACUCCUACGGGAGGCAGCAGGAGGGGAUCUUCGGCAAUGGACGAAAGUCUGAACGAGCAACGCCGCGGGAGGGAAGAAGGUUGUCGGAUCGUAAAACUCUGUUGGUAGAGAAGAACGUUGGUGAGAGUGGAAAGCUCAUCAAGUGACGGUAACUACCCAGAAAGGGACGGCUAACUACGUG
This 497-nucleotide ribosomal RNA is filed under the name uncultured bacterium. Its description in RNAcentral is "partial 16S ribosomal RNA". It matches the Rfam family "Bacterial small subunit ribosomal RNA", at positions 28 to 507 of the family's 1533-position model. The record is from RNAcentral.